Long non-coding RNA from Myotis davidii, 223 nucleotides. RefSeq lists it as uncharacterized. The record is from RefSeq and is a predicted model, not a curated record. The transcript has 2 exons. Lineage: Eukaryota; Metazoa; Chordata; Mammalia; Chiroptera; Vespertilionidae.
GCUCAGUGUGUACAUUCAUAUCAAAGGCCAACAUGAAGACAGGCACAGCCUUUGUCCUAGUGGCUUUUGUCAUCUUGGGGAUAGAGAUGGCCUUCGCUCGGAGACUUGCUAAUGGAGGGGGAAACAGACCUGGACUCUGCCCCAUGGUGACCAUAGAAACCGGUGGUAUUUGUGCUGAAAGCUGCACAGGAGAUGACUCAUGUCCCGGGGAAAUGAAAUGCUG